GACGAACGCUGGCGGCGUGCUUAACACAUGCAAGUCGAACGGAAAGGCCCUGCUUUUGUGGGGUGCUCGAGUGGCGAACGGGUGAGUAACACGUGAGUAACCUGCCCUUGACUUUGGGAUAACUUCAGGAAACUGGGGCUAAUACCGGAUAGGAGCUCCUGCUGCAGGGAGGGGGUUGGAAAGUCUCGGCGGUUGGGGAUGGACGCGCGGCUUAUCAGCUAGUUGGUGGGGUAGUGGCUUACCAAGGCUUUGAAGGGUAGCCGGCCUGAGAGGGUGACCGGCCACAUUGGGACUGAGGUACGGCCCAGACUCCUACGGGAGGCAGCAGUGGGGAAUAUUGCACAAUGGGCGGAAGCCUGAUGCAGCAACGCCGCGUGCGGGAUGACGGCCUUCGGGUUGUAAACCGCUUUCGCCUGUGACGAAGCGUGAGUGACGGUAAUGGGUAAAGAAGCACCGGCUAACUACGUG
RNAcentral lists this ribosomal RNA (468 nucleotides) under uncultured bacterium. RNAcentral describes it as "partial 16S ribosomal RNA". It matches the Rfam family "Bacterial small subunit ribosomal RNA", at positions 28 to 507 of the family's 1533-position model. The record is from RNAcentral.